CCUACGGGAGGCAGCAGUAGGGAAUCUUCCACAAUGGACGAAAGUCUGAUGGAGCAACGCCGCGUGAGCGAUGAAGGCCUUCGGGUCGUAAAGCUCUGUUGUUAGGGAAGAACAAGUGCCGGAGUAACUGCCGGUACCUUGACGGUACCUAACCAGAAAGCCACGGCUAACUACGUGCCAGCAGCCGCGGUAAUACGUAGGUGGCAAGCGUUGUCCGGAAUUAUUGGGCGUAAAGCGCGCGCAGGCGGUCCUUUAAGUCUGAUGUGAAAGCCCACGGCUCAACCGUGGAGGGUCAUUGGAAACUGGGGGACUUGAGUGCAGAAGAGGAAAGCGGAAUUCCACGUGUAGCGGUGAAAUGCGUAGAGAUGUGGAGGAACACCAGUGGCGAAGGCGGCUUUCUGGUCUGUAACUGACGCUGAGGCGCGAAAGCGUGGGGAGCAAACAGGAUUAGAUACCCUGGUAGUCCACGCCGUAAACGAUGAGUGCUAAGUGUUAGAGGGUUUCCGCCCUUUAGUGCUGCAGCUAACGCAUUAAGCACUCCGCCUGGGGAGUACGGCCGCAAGGCUGAAACUCAAAGGAAUUGACGG
Molecule: ribosomal RNA, 587 nt
Filed under: uncultured bacterium
Lineage: Bacteria
Description: bacterial SSU rRNA
Rfam family: Bacterial small subunit ribosomal RNA
Source: RNAcentral